This 468-nucleotide ribosomal RNA is filed under the name uncultured bacterium. Its description in RNAcentral is "partial 16S ribosomal RNA". It matches the Rfam family "Bacterial small subunit ribosomal RNA", at positions 28 to 507 of the family's 1533-position model. The record is from RNAcentral.
GACGAACGCUGGCGGCGUGCUUAACACAUGCAAGUCGAACGGAAAGGCCCUGCUUUUGUGGGGUGCUCGAGUGGCGAACGGGUGAGUAACACGUGAGUAACCUGCCCUUGACUUUGGGAUAACUUCAGGAAACUGGGGCUAAUACCGGAUAGGAGCUCCCGCUGCAUGGUGGGGGUUGGAAAGUUUCGGCGGUUGGGGAUGGACUCGCGGCUUAUCAGCUUGUUGGUGGGGUAGUGGCUUACCACGGCUUUGACGGGUAGCCGGCCUGAGAGGGUGACCGGCCACAUUGGGACUGAGAUACGGCCCAGACUCCUACGGGAGGCAGCAGUGGGGAAUAUUGCCCAAUGGGCGGAAGCCUGAUGCAGCAACGCCGCGUGCGGGAUGACGGCCUUCGGGUUGUAAACCGCUUUCGCCUGUGACGAAGCGUGAGUGACGGUAAUGGGUAAAGAAGCACCGGCUAACUACGUG